GACGAACGCUGGCGGCGUGCCUAACACAUGCAAGUCGAGCGAGAAUUUUUAUAAAAGAUUCCUUCGGGAGUGAAAUUAAUAACUUUCUUAGCGGCGGAUGGGUGAGUAACGCGUGAGAAACCUGCCUUUUACAAGGGGAUAGCCUCGAGAAAUCGGGAUUAAUACCCUAUGAUACUUCUUAGUCGCAUGACUGAGUAGUUAAAGCGUAAAGCGGUAAAAGAUGGUCUCGCGUCCCAUUAGUUAGUUGAUGAGAUAAAAGCUCACCAAGACUACGAUGGGUAGCCGGCCUGAGAGGGUGACCGGCCACACUGGAACUGAGACACGGUCCAG
RNAcentral lists this ribosomal RNA (330 nucleotides) under uncultured bacterium. Its description in RNAcentral is "bacterial SSU rRNA". It matches the Rfam family "Bacterial small subunit ribosomal RNA", at positions 28 to 334 of the family's 1533-position model. The record is from RNAcentral.